Molecule: ribosomal RNA, 301 nt
Filed under: uncultured bacterium
Lineage: Bacteria
Description: partial 16S ribosomal RNA
Rfam family: Bacterial small subunit ribosomal RNA
Source: RNAcentral
CAGUAGCCGCGGGAAUACGUAGGGUGCAUGCGUUAAUCGGAAUUACUGGGCGUAAAGCGUGCGCAGGCGGUUAUAUAAGACAGAUGUGAAAUCCCCGGGCUCAACCUGGGAACUGCAUUUGUGACUGUAUAGCUAGAGUACGGCAGAGGGGGAUGGAAUUCCGCGUGUAGCAGUGAAAUGCGUAGAUAUGCGGAGGAACACCGAUGGCGAAGGCAAUCCCCUGGGCCUGUACUGACGCUCAUGCACGAAAGCGUGGGGAGCAAACAGGAUUAGAUACCCCGGUAGUCCCUGUCUCUUAUAC